UACGUAGGGUGCAAGCGUUAAUCGGAAUUACUGGGCGUAAAGCGUGCGCAGGCGGUUUUGUAAGUCAGAUGUGAAAUCCCCGGGCUUAACCUGGGAACUGCGUUUGAAACUACAAGGCUAGAGUGUGGCAGAGGGGGGUGGAAUUCCACGUGUAGCAGUGAAAUGCGUAGAGAUGUGGAGGAACACCGAUGGCGAAGGCAGCCCCUGGGUUAACAACUGACGCUCAGGCACGAAAGCGUGGGGAGCAAACAGG
RNAcentral lists this ribosomal RNA (253 nucleotides) under uncultured bacterium. RNAcentral describes it as "partial 16S ribosomal RNA". It matches the Rfam family "Bacterial small subunit ribosomal RNA", at positions 524 to 776 of the family's 1533-position model. The record is from RNAcentral.